AGAGUUUGAUCAUGGCUCAGAGUGAACGCUGGCGGCGUGCCUAACACAUGCAAGUCGAACGAGAACGGAUAUAAGUUUACUUAUAUUGUCAGCUAAGUGGCGCACGGGUGAGUAAUAUAUAGUUAAUCUGCCCUGAAGAAGAGAAUAAUUGUUGGAAACGACUUGUAAUGCUCUAUAUGUCUUUAUCACACAAGUGAGCAAGGGAAAUAUUUAUAGCUUCGGGAUGAGACUGUACGGUAUCAGAUAGUUGGUGAGGUAAUGGCUCACCAAGUCUAUGACACCUAACUGGUUUGAGAGGAUGAUCAGUCACACUGGAACUGAGACACGGUCCAGACUCCUACGGGAGGCAGCAGUGGGGAAUAUUGCACAAUGGAGGAAACUCUGAUGCAGCAACGCCGCGUGGAGGAUGACACAUUUCGGUGCGUAAACUCCUUUUAUAUGAGAAGAUAAUGACGGUAUCA
This 461-nucleotide ribosomal RNA is filed under the name uncultured bacterium. RNAcentral describes it as "bacterial SSU rRNA". It matches the Rfam family "Bacterial small subunit ribosomal RNA", at positions 8 to 480 of the family's 1533-position model. The record is from RNAcentral.